GUUCGUCAGUCUUUGCUGUGUUUACAUUUGGCUUGCAGCAAGGCUCAGCCCGGGGGUUCCUAGAGGUGAGAAGCAGCGCAUUUAGCUGUAUGCCUUGCAUUUAUUUACGUUGUCAUUGUAGAAUUUAUUAAGAUAAUCCCGUUUGGUCCGUACAAAAAUACAAGAGAAAGAAUGUUAUUUUAGUAGCUCCGCCCCGUAUGUAAAUUAUAUAAUUGUUGCUCGAAUAUUGUACAUGUAUGGAAAUAUAUCGGCUGUUCUAGAAGUUUCAUAAAAGUAUCAUUUUCUACUAUUGAUUAUUUAUUCACGCUACCAUUGAUGAGAGAGAACAGACAACAGAUUUGACGGCCGUAUUUAUUUAUCCCUUAGUUUAGUCACAAGUUUUGUGAGUUUAUUCGUAUUUGCUGGCUUUAAAACUAUACAAAAACAUAGCAAGAAGCAGAAAUUACAACAAUGGCGGCAGCGGUUUAGUUCUCACGUUUCAAUAAAUAAGGCACGUAUAUUUUUAGAAAUACUAAUGUGUAUGGAACACACUUAGUGACAAAUAUUGUGUAUGGAGUGCACUUAGCUCUAUACAUUAUACUGUAAUAAAUAGAUUAUAUUGGAAAAUACAGGAGUGCAUUUAGCUUCUAAAAAAUUUAAAAUAUUUAUAAAAGGAGGUGCAUUUAGCUUCCUAGAAAGAAAAAAAAAUUAUAAAGGAGGUGCAUUUUAGCUUCCUAGCAAGAAAAAAAAUAUAAAGGAGGUGCAUUUAGCUUCCUAGAAAGAAAAAAAAAUUAUAAAGGAGGUGCAUUUUAGCUUCCUAGCAAGAAAAAAAAUAUAAAGGAGGUGCAUUUAGCUUCCAAAUAAUUAUUUAUUAGAGAAAUAGAGGUGUAGUUAGCUUCUAUUGGCAUAUUAUUGUUUGUUUUAAAAAUGGAUAUUAGAAAUAGAAAAAUCCCAGCUCCAAAUUUUGGAAGGGGGGAAAGUAUGAAGAAUAUAAUUAUUUCACAGAGCGGAACUGUUGAGCCCUGUAAUUUAAUAGAUUUGGGUAUAGAAGAUGAUGUUAAUUUAUCUACAUCCAACCCCGCAGUAAGUCCUAUAAACUCGCCUGUGCAGAAUACUAGGACGAUUGAGGAAAGUAAGACGAAUUUGAAUAAUAAAGAUAUUAUUGCGAUUCUAAUGGACAUUCAGAGACAAUUAAAAAAUCAAAAUGAUAGUUUUUCUGAGCUGAGCACGCAAGUUAAGCUAAAUCAGGAAAAUAUAGUUCAAUUAGUAAGGGGUAACAGUGUGGCUGAAAAUAAGGCCAAUAUGCAUGACUUCAGUCAAAAUAGCUGUUUAGAC
Molecule: long non-coding RNA, 1314 nt
Organism: Mytilus californianus (California mussel)
Lineage: Eukaryota; Metazoa; Mollusca; Bivalvia; Mytilida; Mytilidae
Exons: 3
Source: RefSeq, a predicted model, not a curated record